RNAcentral lists this ribosomal RNA (379 nucleotides) under uncultured eukaryote. RNAcentral describes it as "partial 18S ribosomal RNA". It matches the Rfam family "Eukaryotic small subunit ribosomal RNA", at positions 592 to 975 of the family's 1831-position model. The record is from RNAcentral.
CAAUAGCGUAUAUUAAAGUUGUUGCGGUUAAAAAGCUCGUAGUUGGAUUUCUGUUGAGAACGUCCGGUCCGCACUAUGUGCGUGUAUCUGGUUCGGUCUUGGCAUCCUCUUGAGGAACGUAUCUGCGCUUGAUUGCGUGGAGCGGUAUUCAAGACUUUUACUUUGAGGAAAUUAGAGUGUUCACGGCAGGCAAGCGCCUUGAAUACGUUAGCAUGGAAUAAUAAUAUAGGAUCUUGGUUCUAUUUUGUUGGUUUCUAGGGCUAAGGUAAUGAUUAAUAGGGAUAAUUGGGGGCAUUUGUAUUAACGCGUCAGAGGUGGAAUUCUUGGAUUGCGUUACGACAAGCUACUGCGAAAGCAUUUGCCAAGGAUGUUUUCAUUG